GCAAGUCGAGGGGUAACAUUGGUGCUUGCACCAGAUGACGACCGGCGCACGGGUGCGUAACGCGUAUACAAUCUGCCUUGUACUGGGGGAUAGCCUUUAGAAAUGAAGAUUAAUACCCCAUAGUAUGUAAAGUUCGCAUGGGCCUUACAUUAAAGGUUACGGCAAAAGAUGAGUAUGCGUUCUAUUAGCUAGAUGGUGUGGUAACGGCACACCAUGGCAACGAUAGAUAGGGGCCCUGAGAGGGGGAUC
This 249-nucleotide ribosomal RNA is filed under the name uncultured bacterium. Its description in RNAcentral is "partial 16S ribosomal RNA". It matches the Rfam family "Bacterial small subunit ribosomal RNA", at positions 57 to 305 of the family's 1533-position model. The record is from RNAcentral.